UGGCUUCCCGACCUGCGCUACCGCAUCGAAGACAGAACCCCCUCUACCUGUCCCAGCCCCUUUUGCCACACGCCCCUCCGAAACUGAGAGCCUUCGAGCAUCUCGUUCCCGAAUUCUGUGCCCGAUCGCACAUGCUGCUAUCUCCGAGAGUGAUUUUACCUGCCGUUUAUAGCAGAUCUUCUGAUGAAGACUUUUGUUUUAUAGCUGCGAUGUCUGAGGACAGCUGACGGUAUAGGAAUCUCUGCUACCCCCAGAAAGGGCUCGGCUCAGAGCCUACGAUAUGAAGCCUCAAGUGUUCAGCCAAGACCAGACACCUUCAAAUUCUAAACAGAGAUGAAGAAAAACAAGAAAAUAACAACAAGAAGUUUAUAAAACAAACCCUAUGAGAAAAAGCUGAAGGAAUUAGAUUAGCCUAGUCAAGGAAAUAAAAGCUCCAAGUAGAUACAGUUUUCUGAUACAUAAAAGCUCAUUACAGAGAUGUUGAUCAGCUAUCCUCUGUGGUUCCUGUAGAAUGGCAUAAAAGAGUCAACUUGAUUUGUGACAAGAAAUACCUAAAAGAUUUUGCUAAUCAGCAUUCCAACUAAGCAGCUCUAAACACUAGAACUGACUGUCUAGGGGCACUGUGGAAUCUAUUCUGCUGAAAUUGUUUAAGAACAAAAUUUGAUAAGCUUGUGGGUACUAGCCUUGAUGUAACUAAGUCUUGAUGCAGUACAGACUGGACCAGGUGAUCUUUUGUGACAUCUUACAAACCUCCAGUUCAACAACGGAUAUAAUUCUGAAAAGGGAAAGUUCAUUACAAACCCUGCAUUUUUGUUGUUCAAAUUCUGCAUUAGUGAGCUUUCUUAACUAACCAGAAAAAUCCAGGAAAAAAGCAAGUGGUUUCCUACAGAGCUCUGGGUUCAACACAAAAUCGCAGGUUUGAUGUCAUCAUAUUACGAGAUUUUUCUAAUUACUCUUCUAAUUUCUAUCAUUAUUCUCCUGCUAUAUUAUCCACGUCAGUUCCCUUUUCAAUAUCACAACUGAACCAAAGAGGCUGUCGCUUGGAAUGCCAGUUCAGCCAAAACUAAAGAUCCUACCCAUAUAUAGAAAGAUGCACAUAGACUGUUGGGCCUCAGAAUUCACUACUCAAUGUAAAAGGAGACUGUUUGAUUUUCCAAAGAGGUGAGAGGCCCACGGCUUUCACAGCUGGUGACCUAGUUUGUAAAUGAUGGUCUCUGUGUUAAAUACAUUAAAUGAAAUUUUAGCAUUGAUUUAUGUUUUAUGCUAUGCUAACACUUUCCCUUGUCACCUUCCCUAAAGUUUUCUAAGCAGUGACACCACUACUUUGAACUCAAAUGCACUCUUAGAUGUCAUCAAUAUUCAAGUCCUGUCAGUACUGUCCUUUACAUUGUUUCUCAAGUUAAAGCCCACUCAUUCUUGAGAAAACAGUAAUCCAUGUGUUGCCUUCUGCUGUGUUACCAUGAUUGUUUUCAUUUAUAACACAAUAAAUGAAAGGUUAACAA
This is a non-coding RNA of Meleagris gallopavo (turkey), 1502 nucleotides long. Lineage: Eukaryota; Metazoa; Chordata; Aves; Galliformes; Phasianidae. The record is from RefSeq and is a predicted model, not a curated record.